RNAcentral lists this ribosomal RNA (531 nucleotides) under uncultured bacterium. RNAcentral's name for it is "bacterial SSU rRNA". It matches the Rfam family "Bacterial small subunit ribosomal RNA", at positions 979 to 1509 of the family's 1533-position model. The record is from RNAcentral.
CCUUGACAUACUAAGAACUUUCCAGAGAUGGAUUGGUGCCUUCGGGAACUUAGAUACAGGUGCUGCAUGGCUGUCGUCAGCUCGUGUCGUGAGAUGUUGGGUUAAGUCCCGCAACGAGCGCAACCCUUUUCCUUAUUUGCCAGCGGGUCAUGCCGGGAACUUUAAGGAUACUGCCAGUGACAAACUGGAGGAAGGCGGGGACGACGUCAAGUCAUCAUGGCCCUUACGGCCAGGGCUACACACGUGCUACAAUGGUCGGUACAAAGGGUUGCUACCUCGCGAGAGGAUGCUAAUCUCAAAAAGCCGAUCGUAGUCCGGAUCGCAGUCUGCAACUCGACUGCGUGAAGUCGGAAUCGCUAGUAAUCGCGGAUCAGAAUGCCGCGGUGAAUACGUUCCCGGGCCUUGUACACACCGCCCGUCACACCAUGGGAGUUUGUUGCACCAGAAGUAGGUAGUCUAACCGCAAGGAGGGCGCUUACCACGGUGUGGCCGAUGACUGGGGUGAAGUCGUAACAAGGUAGGCGUAGAUGA